UCGGGAUUUGAACGUCGUAGCCUCCUAUGCCUUAUCAGAUUGAGUUUUGUUUCAUUCUCGAUAUUUUGAUGUAUUAGCUUUGUAUAGGUUCUUUCAUUUUCUCUCUGGUUUCUAGGGUUCUUUGCCUCUAAUCUUUGUCUGUGAUUAUGGGGUUUUGCUGUUAGAGGGUAUUUUUGUUCUUGUACAGAGAGUCGAGAUUGUGAGGUAUUUGUGGAGGCUGUAACCAUUUUAGAUUAGUGCAAUGAGCUCUCCUCUUUGGAGCUCAACGUGGAUGUAUCCCUCAUUAAUGGGUGAACCACGGUAAAAUCGUUUGUGUUCUUUGCUUUGAUCUUGCUUUACUUUUCUGUGUAUGUGUUUGGUUGUUUUUGUCGAAUGAUUUGUGUAUGAGUUCGGUCUGUUUAUUUUCAAAGGGUUGAGAAAGGUUGAGCUUCGUCUCUUCCUAACAAAAGGCCUUUCAAGUUAAGGGGGAGUCCACUCAGAAUGAUAUAUAUAAGGUCAAGAGAGAAAGAAAAAGAGGUACUUCCCGUAAUAGAGGCCGAGGAAGGGGUAGAUUUGAUUACCAAGAUGACAAAAGAAUCCCUUGAAUAAGAGAAAUGUCGUUCAAUGUUGUUGCAAAAAUUUUGGACAUAAAGAAGAGCAUCAAGAAGAAAAUCCUAAAAACUUUGAAGAAGCCACAAGUAAAAAGGAAAAGGGAAAUGCAAAGAAAGAAGAAAUCAUGACAAUUGAGGGGAAAUGAUACUUGCGGGUUAGUGGGCAUACGAAAAAGGUAAAAACACCACUGGAUUGAAAUGGGUGUAUAAGACAAAAUAUCAUGUUCAUGGAAGCAUACAAAGACACAAGGCCAAGCUUGUAGCAAAGGUUAUUUUCAGCAACGAGUAGUUGACUUUGAAGAAACAUCAUUCUCCAGUUGCUCGCUCUGAAAUGGCGAGACUUAUCAAAAUCUUAGCUGCUCAACCUAAAUGGUCUGUUGAUCAAGUUGGGUUACUUGAUAGCAAAUCUGCUUUCUUGAAUGCUGAUAGGCAGCCCAUGACAUUAAGGGCAGAAUAGGGAUAUUGAAAUGGGAGAAUUGUUGCAUGUGCAGAUAACAAAUUCUGUUAAGGGGUAGAAUGGGAAGAGCAAAGAGAGGGGGGCAUGUGACCAACAGAUUCCUAUAAAUAGAGAAGCAAAUAGAGUAGAAGGAGAGGAAUUUUCUGGUGAAUAUAGUGGGAGAGCUUGGACCUCUCGAAUGUCCACUUUCUUUUCAUUUUUGUUAAUUUCCAGCCUUGUAGUUCUUUCGAUUAUCAGUAUCCUAUCAAAUGCUAAUUAAAAGAAAAAGUGUACGCUACUCAGCUUCAAGGUUUUAUUUUCAAUGGAAAAAUAACAGAAAAUAUGCAAGUUGAAGAAGCCCCUUUUUGGUUUGAAGUAGGCUCUCCAAGCAUGAUAUGGAAAAAUUGAGUCCUUUAAAAGGAAAGAAGCGGAAAUGAGCCAUCUCUCUAUUUAAAGAAGUAAGAUAGUAAUGGCUUUCGUGUGGUUUGUAUUUAUGUUGAUGAGAUCAUAUAUAUGGGCUCAUCUCAUUCUCUUGUGGCAGACUUUAAAGCUUUCAUGAUGAAAGAGCUUGAAAUGACAGAUUUGGGUUUGACGCACUAUUUUCUUGGGCUGGAAGUCAUGCAAGUCAUAGACCGGACUUCUGUUUCACAAACAAAAUAUGCAACUGAUUUGCUUAACAUGUUUAUUAUGUUAGAUUUCAAUGUAGCAGCAACUUCCAUGAAUGCAAAUGAGAAGUUGGAGAAUAAAGAUGGUACUGGGUUGGUAAAUGCAAGAAGUUUCAGAAGGUUUUUGCUGGAUUGACAUGUAUAUAGCAGUUUCAGGUGGUACUGUUUCCAGGUUCAUGCACAGGCAAUAGAAGCAUUGUCGUCAAUGGAGACUGAACAUAUAGAGAUUACUUCACCAGCAUGCCAAAUGGUAUGGCUUAGAAGAUUGCAACCAGAACUUGAACGAGAACAGAAGGGAGCAACCAAGUUGUGUGCAGCCAUUUCCAACACAAUCAAAUUGUUGGACACCUUCAGGAGUGCGAAAAUAAGAAUAGUUGAAAAAAGAAAUACUUACUUGGAUCGAUUGCUCCUGUCGGUACAGAGACCAAGAACACCAGAGAAAAUGCAAAUGUAACAG
Molecule: long non-coding RNA, 2148 nt
Organism: Diospyros lotus (date-plum)
Lineage: Eukaryota; Viridiplantae; Streptophyta; Magnoliopsida; Ericales; Ebenaceae
Exons: 3
Source: RefSeq, a predicted model, not a curated record